This 301-nucleotide ribosomal RNA is filed under the name uncultured bacterium. RNAcentral describes it as "partial 16S ribosomal RNA". It matches the Rfam family "Bacterial small subunit ribosomal RNA", at positions 509 to 807 of the family's 1533-position model. The record is from RNAcentral.
CAGCCGCCGCGGGAAAACGUAGGUGGCAAGCGUUGUCCGGAAUUAUUGGGCGUAGAGGGCUCGCAGGCGGUUUCUUAAGUCUGAUGUGAAAGCCCCCGGCUCAACCGGGGAGGGUCAUUGGAAACUGGGAAACCUGAGUGCAGAAGAGGAGAGUGGAAUUCCACGUGUAGCGGUGAAAUGCGUAGAGAUGUGGAGGAACACCAGUGGCGAAGGCGACUCUCUGGUCUGUAACUGACGCUGAGGAGCGAAAGCGUGGGGAGCGAACAGGAUUAGAUACCCCGGUAGUCCCUGUCUCUUAUAC